This 450-nucleotide ribosomal RNA is filed under the name uncultured bacterium. Its description in RNAcentral is "bacterial SSU rRNA". It matches the Rfam family "Bacterial small subunit ribosomal RNA", at positions 354 to 796 of the family's 1533-position model. The record is from RNAcentral.
GUGGGGAAUAUUGGACAAUGGGCGAAAGCCUGAUCCAGCCAUGCCGCGUGUGUGAAGAAGGUCUUCGGAUUGUAAAGCACUUUAAGUUGGGAGGAGGGGCAGUAAGUUAAUACCUUGCUGUUUUGACGUUACCGACAGAAUAAGCACCGGCUAACUUCGUGCCAGCAGCCGCGGUAAUACGAAGGGUGCAAGCGUUAAUCGGAAUUACUGGGCGUAAAGCGCGCGUAGGUGGUUUUGUAAGUUGGAGGUGAAAUCCCCGGGCUCAACCUGGGAACUGCCUCCAAAACUGCAUGACUAGAGUACGGUAGAGGGUAGUGGAAUUUCCUGUGUAGCGGUGAAAUGCGUAGAUAUAGGAAGGAACACCAGUGGCGAAGGCGACUACCUGGACUGAUACUGACACUGAGGUGCGAAAGCGUGGGGAGCAAACAGGAUUAGAAACCCUGGUAGUCC